This 87-nucleotide transfer RNA is filed under the name Gluconobacter cerinus. Its description in RNAcentral is "tRNA-Ile". It matches the Rfam family "tRNA". From Rfam's summary of the family: Transfer RNA (tRNA) molecules are approximately 80 nucleotides in length. Their secondary structure includes four short double-helical elements and three loops (D, anti-codon, and T loops). Further hydrogen bonds mediate the characteristic L-shaped molecular structure. tRNAs have two regions of fundamental functional importance: the anti-codon, which is responsible for specific mRNA codon recognition, and the 3' end, to which the tRNAs corresponding amino acid is attached (by aminoacyl-tRNA synthetases). tRNAs cope with the degeneracy of the genetic code in two manners: having more than one tRNA (with a specific anti-codon) for a particular amino acid; and 'wobble' base-pairing, i.e. permitting non-standard base-pairing at the 3rd anti-codon position. The record is from RNAcentral. Lineage: Bacteria; Pseudomonadati; Pseudomonadota; Alphaproteobacteria; Acetobacterales; Acetobacteraceae.
GGCUGGGUGCGUGAGUGGCUUAAACGGGCCGUCUGAUAAGCGGCUGUGCGUGAAAACGUACCGAGGGUUCGAAUCCCUCCCCAAUUC